Molecule: long non-coding RNA, 970 nt
Organism: Cryptomeria japonica (Japanese cedar)
Lineage: Eukaryota; Viridiplantae; Streptophyta; Pinopsida; Cupressales; Cupressaceae
Exons: 3
Source: RefSeq, a predicted model, not a curated record
AAACCGAGGUGAGUACAGAUUUCAGGCCAAGGGAGAAUUUUUCUUUACCAGUAAUAGCCCCAUAGCCCCUUUUCUGAGAAUUUUUCUUUACCAGUAAUACGUAGCCCCCAUUGUGAGAAUUUUUCUUUACCAGUUUGCCCACACUCUGAGAAUCUGAGCUGUGUUCUCUGCUUUAGAAGAUGCCUGCCCUUCCUUUUAGAAGAUAUAAAAGGAGAAUGUGGUUGGUAGUUGGAUUGUGUGCUAGCCAGGCCAGUGUUGCUCUUCAAUGGAGUUGAACGCCUUAAUACUGACCUCGCUAUCACAAUUCCGUCUGCCAAGCACCAACUACUUACCUCAAGUGUUAGCAGAUCUUCUCAAAUAAUAGCCUUUGUGGAUGACCUUGAUAGAUGCCAGGAAAAUGUUUCAUUACAGGUUUUAUCAGCUAUAAAUCUGGUGUUAGCUGAGUGCAAAAUCAAUGUUUGAUCUGAAAAUGGUUAAAGAUUGAAGGAGCAGUUACAAGGAUUUUCAAAGACAAUGAUUUUCACUUUUUAUCUGCAAAAUUAUUCAAAUUCUUUUAAAUUUGCCAAAUCCAAAUUACAUAGCUUUCUACAGCACCUAUUGAUGGAGAUACAAAUAAAUGGGAAGCUUUCUACAAAACCUAUUGUUGGAGAUACAGACAUGAUUGUUAAAAUCAUAUAACCUUUGUAAAUUCUAUACGCGUCGUUUGUGAUUUAUUUGAAAAAUGGUGUUGAUAAUGAUAAUGAUAUCAAUGUCCAUAAAAUGAUAGAAUUAGUCCAUGGGACACUCUAUGAUAUGGGACACUCUAUGAUGAGGAAAAAUGGUGGCCCACAAAUGUAAAGAUUUGGGACAUUGAACUCAAAACUUCUCUUUAUUCCGCAAAUUUAAAGUGGAAUUUUUGCUAUUUUUUAUUUUUAUAAUAGGUAAAGUUAAAAAUUAUAGUGAAAUUUGAUUGGUCAAGGUUUAACAAGAA